CUGGUGUCAGCCGCCGCGGUAAUACCAGCACCCCGAGUGGUGGGAAGUUAUUAUUGGGCCUAAAGCAUCCGUAGCCGGUCCUACAAGUCUUCCGUUAAAUCCACCUGCUUAACAGAUGGGCUGCGGAAGAUACUAUAGGGCUAGGAGGCGGGAGAGGCAAGCGGUACUCAGUGGGUAGGGGUAAAAUCCUCUGAUCCAUUGAAGACCACCAGUGGCGAAGGCGGCUUGCCAGAACGCGCUCGACGGUGAGGGAUGAAAGCUGGGGGAGCAAACCGGAUUAGAUACCCGGGUAGUCCCAGCUGUAAACGAUGCAGACUCGGUGAUGGGUUGGCCCUGUGCCAACCCAGUGCCGCAGGGAAGCCGUUAAGUCUGCCGCCUGGGGAGUACGGUCGCAAGACUGAAACUUAAAG
RNAcentral lists this ribosomal RNA (410 nucleotides) under uncultured Nitrososphaerota archaeon. RNAcentral describes it as "bacterial SSU rRNA". It matches the Rfam family "Archaeal small subunit ribosomal RNA", at positions 452 to 861 of the family's 1478-position model. The record is from RNAcentral. Lineage: Archaea; Thermoproteati; Nitrososphaerota.